This 339-nucleotide ribosomal RNA is filed under the name uncultured Bacteroidales bacterium. RNAcentral's name for it is "bacterial SSU rRNA". It matches the Rfam family "Bacterial small subunit ribosomal RNA", at positions 22 to 360 of the family's 1533-position model. Lineage: Bacteria; Pseudomonadati; Bacteroidota; Bacteroidia; Bacteroidales. The record is from RNAcentral.
GCUCAGGAUGAACGCUAGCUACAGGCUUAACACAUGCAAGUCGAGGGGUAGCAGGGUAGCAAUACCGCUGACGACCGGCGCACGGGUGAGUAACACGUAUCCAACCUUCCCAUAACUCGGGGAUAGCCUUUCGAAAGAAAGAUUAAUACCCGAUAGUACUUUUUCAAGGCAUCUUGAGAAAGUUAAAGAUUUAUUGGUUAUGGAUGGGGAUGCGUUCCAUUAGAUAGUUGGUGAGGUAACGGCUCACCAAGUCUUCGAUGGAUAGGGGUUCUGAGAGGAAGGUCCCCCACAUUGGUACUGAGACACGGACCAAACUCCUACGGGAGGCAGCAGUGAGGA